This is a long non-coding RNA of Cucumis sativus (cucumber), 1141 nucleotides long. RefSeq lists it as uncharacterized. The record is from RefSeq and is a predicted model, not a curated record. The transcript has 3 exons. NCBI's taxonomy places the organism in Eukaryota, Viridiplantae, Streptophyta, Magnoliopsida, Cucurbitales, Cucurbitaceae.
GCCCUAGGAACAUUUUUGUUUUAUUAUUUGGAAAGAAAUCUAAUGGAUUUAAUACUUGCUUAGGUAGUAGGGACGAUUACAAUUAAAAAACUAAAAUGAGCAAUGAAACUAAAACUAAUUUUAAAAAUACAAAAACCAAGUCAAAUAUGGAGAUAAUUAGUAUAAGUAUAAUUUAAUUAACGAAAAAAUAAGUAUAGCCACCCUCCUAAUCUCAUCUAAUCUCAUUUAACUUAUUUUCUUAAAACAUUGAAAAGAAGAAGGUAUCAUUUCAUUUCUACAAUAGAUGGAUAAACCAAAAAUAUAAAUCAAAAUAAGAUUGAUUCAAUAGUAUUGUCUAACAUGACUUCCGUCUCUAGAGGUUGAAAGUUUCUAACUCACUCACGUCAUGUUUGCACUCCUAAUAUGUACUAAAAAACACUCCUAAUGGGUUUUUUUAAUAGACUAAAUACAGAUAAAUUUGAAUAACAAUAAAAUGAGCAUUUGAAUUUAGUAAUUGAGAGGUAGAGUAAAGAUUGUGAUUUGAUUUUAAAAGAAAUUUCAUGAGAGAUAAUGAAGGGUAACAGCUAGGAACCAUCCACGUGUACGGUGGAUAUUCAUCAAUUUGGUCUUCCAUGAGACUAUAUUAUAGAGAACCCAAAACACAAAAAUACUUCACAAUCACAUACUGCUUUGGAAAGAUUUUGAUCCCAAAACUUUGGAAACAAAAUGACUUCUGGUUGCAAGUGUGGUGAAAAUUGCUCGUGUGGAGAUAGUUGCAAUUGCCUCUUGGGGACCAUCAAGGGGGCCACCUCCCUAAUCAACAUGAAUCAUGGUUGCAGCUGCUGUGACAGUAGCUGCUCGUGCGACACAUGUGAUUGUUGUUGAUGAGCUCUUGCAGAGAUGAAUGAAGCCCUUAAACAACAAAGCUCUCUGAAAUGGAAUAAAAUUAUGUGACAAUAUCCAACAACAAAAAAAAUAAUUGUGUUUUUGGCUUCUUGUGUUUUUGCACUUUGUUUGAAAUCAGUGUGUGAAAGAACUAUGUAAUAGCUUUGUUGUGGGCUAUGUGUGGGUUGUUGUUUUAUAUAAUCAAAGUUGCUACAAAUAUGUGUUUGGAGUAUUGUGUGCAGUGAAAAUUUGGUUUAAUAAUGAGUAUUUAUGUCAA